AGGGAGAAGAUAAUGUUUAUUAUAGUUCUAAAAUUUCCCAAUUAGUAUUCUAGAUCUGUUUCACAUAAUUGAGAAUUUCUAGUUCUAAAAUUUCCCCAAUUAAUACUUUAGACAUGUUUCACAUCAUGUAGAAUUUAAAGUGAAACCUGUAUAUCCAUUACAAAAAUCCAGUUAUUUAGAAGCUGAGCACAUGUUUUACAUAUAUUGUUCUGUUGUGGUUUACUCUUAAAGAGUGGUGUGUUCCUAAUCAAGAGUCCCAUGGUUUGGUUUGAUGAUCUUGGAGGUCUUUUUCCAAUGUUGAUGAGAAGCUGAAGAACAUUUUGAGGUGCCACCGGAACCAGGAGAACAAUGACAGAAACACAGAAGAGCAAGCUGUGUGUGAGCUGCUAAUUGAAACCAUCUCCUGGGCUCCAGCUGGUGGAGUUCCAGCCGGGAGGAGGGAGGAGGCUCCUUCGGCGUGGCAGUGAAGGAAACCUGAGCAUGUGUCUGAGUAAAUGCAGAAAUGGG
Molecule: long non-coding RNA, 507 nt
Filed under: Lepidothrix coronata (blue-crowned manakin)
Lineage: Eukaryota; Metazoa; Chordata; Aves; Passeriformes; Pipridae
Description: lncRNA (ENSLCOG00000005143.1)
Source: RNAcentral